RNAcentral lists this transfer RNA (72 nucleotides) under Cylindrospermum sp. NIES-4074. Its description in RNAcentral is "tRNA-Gly". It matches the Rfam family "tRNA". Rfam says of the family: Transfer RNA (tRNA) molecules are approximately 80 nucleotides in length. Their secondary structure includes four short double-helical elements and three loops (D, anti-codon, and T loops). Lineage: Bacteria; Bacillati; Cyanobacteriota; Cyanophyceae; Nostocales; Nostocaceae. The record is from RNAcentral.
GCGAGUGUAGUGUAAUGGCAGCAUGUGAGGCUUCCAACCUCUUGGUACGAGUUCAAAUCUCGUCAUUCGCUC